RNAcentral lists this long non-coding RNA (983 nucleotides) under Cricetulus griseus (Chinese hamster). RNAcentral's name for it is "lncRNA (ENSCGRG00000024697.1)". Lineage: Eukaryota; Metazoa; Chordata; Mammalia; Rodentia; Cricetidae. The record is from RNAcentral.
CCCUCCCAGGCGCCUGCUGUCUGCUUUUUGUGCUGAGGUGCCAGCCUUCAUUCUGAGUACACCCGGGGGCAUCCGAACCCUAGAAAGCUUCCUUCCCCAGACAAGGGAGCUCUCGCCACACCCAGCAGAGCUUUUUGGAGAAAGUCCAGUUUGGACAGGCUGAUGAGCAGCACCCUACUCACCAAGUCCUGGGAGGGACAACACAGGUGUCCCCAGGCACUGAUCAGAGGCUCUGCUGACUUCUUGGAAUGAGGAAAUACAGGCUGGCCUUUAAGAACUGGGACAGCGGCCACUGCAUAGGCCAAAGCCUGGACUCAUGCAAGUCUUGCCCUUCAACCUAGAAAAUGAGAUUUGACCCAGGUUUGCCCUACAGGUCCCAUGUAACACACCCUGGAAGGGAGUUCUGGGGAUCCACCACCAACUUGCUCCCACAUUUCGAUCAGGGUAUCCUGAAAAGAAGAGGGGCUCAGUCUACCACUCUGAGGAGAGAAGUGGUAUCUGUCACUAGGGAGAGAAUUGGUCCUUAGAGGGCAGGACACCUGGCCCAGGUUCCCAGAUCCUGUCAACCCAGACUUUAUGGACCGACCACCCAGCUACAGGUGACUAAUUGCCAAGGCUCAUCUGCCACUUCCUGCUCAACUCUAGCCCGCUUGCCUACCCUUCUUGUUUCCCAUGAGCUCAGCCAGUGUCAUCCUUCUAGCUCUCCUCCAUCAUGGCUCCAUCUUCCUUCCUCCUCACUGACCCAAGUAUGAGAUUCUAGUUGCUUCUUCUUCUUCUUCUUCUUCUUCUUCUUCUUCUUCUUCUUCUGUAAGAUAUGGUCUCAUGUAGCACAAGCUGGCCUUAAACUUGCUAGGUAGGGAAGGAUGAUCUUGAACUUCUGAUCUUCUUGCCUCCAACUCCCAGGAGCUAGAAUUACAGGCAUGGGCUACCAAGCCCAGUUUAUGCAGUGCUGGAUAACAAAGGCGGGUCUUUGUGUCUGCAGG